This 4639-nucleotide ribosomal RNA is filed under the name Triticum aestivum (bread wheat). Its description in RNAcentral is "partial small subunit ribosomal RNA". The record is from RNAcentral. Lineage: Eukaryota; Viridiplantae; Streptophyta; Magnoliopsida; Poales; Poaceae.
CGCUUGGCCACUCACGCACACAUCCAUUCAUCCAUGCCCACUCGGCCACACACAUGAACGCUCAUAGCUAGAGCCCUUGGCUCUCACGCGACACACACUCACGCUCACUCACACAUGAGGCCGAGUAGAGAAUAAGUGUAGUCAGCUUCCCGAUUCGUCCAGAUACAGUUUUAAGAGCAACUCUGUACUGCUACGUAUACACUGCAUAUAUCAUCAGACAUGUAGGAGUAGGGGUAUUAUCUCUCCGGAGAGCCCCGAACCUGGGUAAAUCACCGCGUGUUGUUUGCCCAAUCCCGUCCCUUGAUCUCUAGAGCAGUCUUGCCCUCACCUCAAACCACCCCGUGGCAUCUGUCAUCUCACGAACCCGACCGCGAGAUAACCACGACAGUUGGCGUCCACCGUGGGGCGGUACUAUGAAACCAGCUGCCGCGGAACUGUGGUCUGGGCGGGACCAUUUUCAUCAUCGUCGCCGCCGUUGCCUCUCCGGUUGCGCUCGGGGGCUCGACAUCGACAGGCCCCUAGGGCGACCGCGCUGGGCGGUGCGUUCUCGUCGUCGGUCUCGGCCUCUUUGUCACCAUCGCUGCAGCACAGGCUGUCCGUCGCGGCUCUGCGUUGCUCUGUCCGCCGCCGCCUUCCCCGCGAGCGACGCCUGCCUCGUCGCCUGCUUCGCGCCCUUCUUCUCAGGCUUCGCUACCAUCUGUUGUUGCUGCUACUUGUCGCUGCCCAUACACUACCAGACACUUCUCACAUGCUAGCCAGACACAAGCCAGAUAAUACUCGUAGCAUGGUCAGAUAAUGCCUUACAUUGGUCAGACUAUGGCCAAAUACUACUCGUACACCACCCAGACUAUAGCCGUACACUGUACGUGCCUUGGUCGGAUGCUCCAUCUCCGCGCUGCUCCGGCCGACUCCGCGCGUCCGUGCGCCGCUGUGCUACAGCCAGCUCGUCAUCGCCGUCGUCUGCUCCCGCAGCAGCGGCCACGGCAAACACUCCCCUCGUGGGGUCAUCUCCGUCCUCGCCCGCAGGCCAUCCGCUUCGUCCUCGCUCCUCCUACCAACGCCCCGCGGGCACCCGUCGGCGGCCCGUCCUCGAGCAGCUCCUCCGCGGCCAGCUCCGGCAGCCCGCCGGCUCCGUUCGCCGCGCCCACCCCGGCCGGCUCUAGCCCCGCGCCGGCUCGCGUCCCUGCCCGGCAGGCUCCGGCCCCGCGCUGGCUCGCGCCCCUGCCCGGCCAGCUCCGGCCUCCCUUCUGCGUCCUCCGCGAACCCGGCUCCGGCCUCGCAGCGCGCGCCCCACGGCCGGCUCCGUUCGCCGCGCCUGCGCCAGGCUCCGCUCCGCGCCUCUGGGCUCGCGGUUGUGUGCCUCCAACUCCGGCUCCGGUUCGCCCCACCACGCUGCUGCGCCCCAGGCACGAAAGCCUCCCGCGCCCGCGCCGGCGGCCGCCUGCCCUGCACGCCUGCACCCCCCCUCCCCCGCGUCCGGGUUCGCCUUCCCGCGCCCUCCUCUGACCCGGCCACGCCCGCUCGCCGGCUCCGCGCAACUCCUCCGCCCCGUCGCCUCGCGUCUCCCCACUCCGCCGGCUUCGCGCCACAUCACCGCGCCCGAACCGCCGCCGGCCGCGUCCGCCUCGCCCCUGCCGAGUCCGCGUGCGCCGGCCUCCCCGCCGUCUCGGUUCCGUCGCUCGGCCGGCUCGUGCCCGCAACCCGACCCCCAUCGCGGUCCUGCCUCGUGUCGCCUCCUCCGGCUCGCCGCUCCACCCGAGCUGGCUCCCCGCCCCGGCCUGCCGCCGCCACGCACGUCCGAAUCAGCGCGACCGCGCCUCGCGGGCUUGCGCUUUCGUAACCCCGGCCGGCUCGUGUUGCUCAUCUGCUGCGGCCGGGUGCCCGGUGGAUAUAAAAAAAGUGAUGCCAGCAAAAAAAAGAAGUCGGCUAAAAAAAGGAAGAAGAAGGCUGCGAGACGCCUCCGCCCGACCGCGGCGCCGCUCCGCCGGCGCCCCUGCCUGCCCGGUCGGCUGUGCCAAGCCGACCCAGCCGCCUGCCACAUCGCCGGCUGUGCCAAGCCGGCUCAGCUACAUCUCGCUCCAUCGUUUGGCCGGUCAGGCUCGACUGGUCGGACCCCCUUCGAGCGCCCGGAGGAUUGAAGGCUACCCCCAGUGGGUGCGCCGGUAUGCUCCGCGAGCACCAAGCCGCGUCGGCUGCAAGCCGGCAGCCGGCUGUCAUCGACGACCUCUGGCUCGUCCAUGAAAAUGCACUGUGAGCUCCUCACCCACAUAUUUUUGCAUAGUACGCACCAACCCGGAUAAUCCCGAGCGACACUCGGGGAUCACAUCUGCCUUUAUUACAGUUGCACUACUGUUUGCCCCGGCGCCGGCUAGUCUCGGCCCGGAGGCUGGCCGCUCGGCCCGAUACGUUCGUUCCCGCAUACGGCUUAGUAGCGCAUACGGUACCAAAGGUCCACUCUCAGCCACAGACGGUAGCGCGGCUGUCCGGCAAGCGAGAGCAAAAGCUGGAGGUCACCCCACGCGAAAAACGUCCGGGAGAAGAUGGCUUGGGCAACCCGGCCGUUUCCUUUAUGAGUAUCUACUCGGUCGAAUCUGCUCCUGUAGUCCGAGCAUUGUACGCUCCACACCGCGGCCACUCUUCAUAACAGCUACAGACCGCCUCCGGGCUGUCUAGCUAACAAGAGGCAAAGCCAAAAGAGCGGAGGGGACAUGAAAAAGACUGAAGGGGGCUCGGACGAAACCGAGGCAGCACCCACUGCAUAAACCUUGCACCAUGAAAAGAAAAUAUUUGAUAUAUCUGCACAGACUAACCUUGUCUCUUGGCACGAUCACCUCUGUGGGGAACCCCCUCCUCGCCCGGAGGCUCGGAGGCUACACGCCGGGUGCACCGCGCAGUCGGCCGCCGUCAUCAACAACAGAAAAGACCCUCCGCCCAACUCUUCCCAGUUGCGCGGAGGCUCGGAGGCCACACCCAGUGGGUGCGCUCGCGCGCCCCCACUCAGCAGGCGGACUCCGCGUCCGCGUCCGGCAGGGCCCCGUGCCCUCCAGCCGGCGAACUCCAUGUCCGCGCCCGGCACCCUCGACGUCACCGUCGGCUUGUUCAUCAACAGCAAGACCCUCCGCCCAACUUUUCCAAGUUACCCGGAGGCUCGGAGGCUACACCCAAUGGGUGCGCUUGCGCGCCCCCACUCGGAACACACCGCGCCUGUUGCACGUCCACCGUCGGCUGCAGCCGGCAUCUUCGACACCAUCUACUACAUCGACACCCGCUAAAACCCUCCGCGCAACUUUUCCAACUUGCCCGGAGGCUCAGAGGCUACGGUCAGGGGGAUGACCCCCGGGUAUGCCCAAGACGGCGAAACAACCCUUCAAAACAUUGCCAGGGGAGUAACCCCUGGCUGGCUGGAACUUGGCUGGCUGGAAUCUGGCCGGGUUGACUUUGGCCGGGUUGACCUGUCUGGGUUAACUUUGGCCUGGUUGACCUGUCCGGGUUGACCCUGACCGGGUUGACCUUGGCCGGGUUGACCUGUCUGGCUUGACCCUGGCCGGGUUGACCUUGGCCGGGUUGAGCUGUCCGGGUUGAUCCUGGCCGGGUUGAGCCCAUCCGGGGUCUCCCUGGCCGGGUUGAGCUGUCCGGGUUGAGACCCGUCCGGGUUGAGGCCCGUCAGGGUUGAGCCCGUCCGGCUGGAAUCUAGCCAAGUCAACUAAGACGUCCCGUCAAACCUGCGCUGACGUGAUGGUCAUACUAUAAAGUGGAGCACUGUAGAUAAGCAGCCAACACUGUUCUUGCAUCAUGUGACACUUCACUGCGCUCCAAUAGUGAUGCACUAUAGCCUGCAACAUCAUAUGACAUCUCAAUAGUGUAGUGGGUGUGUGGGCCACACCUUGUCCCUGAGCACUAGUGUCGGUGUCCUGGGAACGGGGGUCCCCAGACUUGCCUGCCUGCGGCCCACGGCGUGGCUCCUCCAGCGGCCCUGUACGGCCCAUCUGCACCAGCAAACACUCAAGACCCUCGCGCGGGGCCAAGCCUCGCGAGGCGGACGACACAAGACCUCCUCGGGAGCGACCUCACCAGGCUGGCUCGCAAGGGGCGGAGAGAUCAAGGCAAGGCACACCUCUCGAGGUUCCUGUGACGCAAGCCAUGACGACUGGAGCCAGGCGGGCGCCAGCGCGCAGUGUCCUCGUUUCCUCUUUGGUGCUAAAGGGGCAAGCGCAGGCGAGGAGUCCCGAGGCAUCAGGCAAAGGUUUCCAUAUCGGUGCAACGAGACCAAGACCAGUAGGACGGCAAGACGGAGGUCACCGUGGAGCCCAAGAUGGCGUCACCACCAGAGCCUUUGGCAGGCGAAGACCACCUUUAGUCAGGAUAACUUGUACUAGUUGUCUCCCUUCAAAUUUGGCCAUUGUUGGCUCCCUUCCCGCUCAAUAUUUGGGGAGAGGACCAGGGCCUCUAUAAAUAGGACUAGCCACCACAGUAGGAGGCAACUGAUUCAGAUCAUCCUCACCCACACAAGUCCACCAAGCACAAGAACACCUCUCCUCAUGAGGCUGUUCUUCCCUUGUACUGUUUAUCAUCAGCCCAAGAGGCAAUCCACCACACACACUUGAGUAGGGUAUUACACCACAACGGUGGCCCGAACCAG